UACGAGAGGCCCAAACGUUAUUCGGAUUUACUGGGCUUAAAGAGUUCGUAGGCGGUCUUGUAAGUGGGGUGUGAAAUCCCUCGGCUCAACCGAGGAACUGCGCUCCAAACUACAAGACUUGAGGGGGAUAGAGGUAAGCGGAACUGAUGGUGGAGCGGUGAAAUGCGUUGAUAUCAUCAGGAACACCGGAAGCGAAGGCGGCUUACUGGGUCCUUUCUGACGCUGAGGAACGAAAGCUAGGGGAGCAAACGGG
RNAcentral lists this ribosomal RNA (253 nucleotides) under uncultured bacterium. Its description in RNAcentral is "partial 16S ribosomal RNA". It matches the Rfam family "Bacterial small subunit ribosomal RNA", at positions 524 to 776 of the family's 1533-position model. The record is from RNAcentral.